Lolium rigidum is the source of this 250-nucleotide long non-coding RNA. RefSeq lists it as uncharacterized. The record is from RefSeq and is a predicted model, not a curated record. The transcript has 3 exons. NCBI's taxonomy places the organism in Eukaryota, Viridiplantae, Streptophyta, Magnoliopsida, Poales, Poaceae.
CCCCGUUCCACCGUGGUGACAAGCACUUCCACUUCCACAACUCCAGCCUCUAGACGCGGAGCGUACUCAACGUGCAGAUAUAAUAUAAGUACAUGACGAUAGGAAGUACUUUGCAUUUUGGUGACAAGAAACAUGGACAAUUGGGGAUAGGUUCAUUAAAGACAUAACUGAGGAGCACUGUCGGUUCAUCUGGCCUGCUGUUUGAUUAUGCAACUUAACAUUUAGUUGCUCAAGGUUUAAAUAUAUCAGG